RNAcentral lists this transfer RNA (778 nucleotides) under Afifella pfennigii. Its description in RNAcentral is "partial miscellaneous RNA". The stretch from base 238 to 311 matches the Rfam family "tRNA". Lineage: Bacteria; Pseudomonadati; Pseudomonadota; Alphaproteobacteria; Hyphomicrobiales; Afifellaceae. The record is from RNAcentral.
AAGGAAGAUCCCUUACGGUGCCCGCUCAUGGGCAACAGCCGUUUCGGAUCAUCUUGGAACAUGGCUUGGUCCUUUGGAUCAAAGCCGCAACUAUCAAGGCGGGUGUCGCCGUCUUCGUUUCUCUUUCUUCGCAAAACGCGUGAUCAGCGCUCGAGUGCUGGCCUGCCGGCUACGCCUUUGGGUCAUGCCGGUAGGGCUUUUCGUUCGCCGGGCUCCUUCUUGACCGGAGCGGAGCGAGGGCCUGUAGCUCAGUCGGUUAGAGCGCACCCCUGAUAAGGGUGAGGUCGGUAGUUCGAAUCUACCCAGGCCCACCAUCCGCUAUUUAGGGGUGGUCAAGCCCGGCCGAUCUUUCGAUCCUCGGGAGGCUGGGGAGGCUCGUCUUUCGGGGCCAUAGCUCAGCUGGGAGAGCGCCUGCUUUGCAAGCAGGAGGUCGUCGGUUCGAUCCCGUCUGGCUCCACCAUUCUUCAUAUGGCGGAUGCCACGGGAGAGGAUUGCGCGUUUCGAAGAAAGCCGAGAUUUGCGAUGGCGUGGCUCGUGCCGCGCCGGAAGCAGGAUUUCUGACAUCGUGAAGAGAAGAUAUGUCCGGGCAUGCCUGGUCGUUCCUUGCAAGAGGGCGUUCCGUGGCUGGCGGGCAAAUCUCGUGUGACACUGGUCUUUCCGGUCCCUUUUGCCUUUCAGGCGAAAGUGGACCGUCAUGUUCGCCUAUAGCGUCCUCUGACCGGGACGCUGCUCUCAAUCCUUCGCAAGAAGGGUGGGCGAGCAUGGAUAAUGAGAGCGA